Molecule: ribosomal RNA, 427 nt
Filed under: uncultured bacterium
Lineage: Bacteria
Description: partial 16S ribosomal RNA
Rfam family: Bacterial small subunit ribosomal RNA
Source: RNAcentral
UGGGGAAUAUUGGACAAUGGGCGAAAGCCUGAUCCAGCCAUGCCGCGUGUGUGAAGAAGGUCUUCGGAUUGUAAAGCACUUUAAGUUGGGGGGAAGGGCAUUAACCUAAUACGUUAGUGUUUUGACGUUACCGACAGAAUAAGCACCGGCUAACUCUGUGCCAGCCGCCGCGGUAAUACAGAGGGUGCAAGCGUUAAUCGGAAUUACUGGGCGUAAAGCGCGCGUAGGUGGUUUGUUAAGUUGGAUGUGAAAUCCCCGGGCUCAACCUGGGAACUGCAUUCAAAACUGACUGACUAGAGUAUGGUAGAGGGUGGUGGAAUUUCCUGUGUAGCGGUGAAAUGCGUAGAUAUAGGAAGGAACACCAGUGGCGAAGGCGACCACCUGGACUAAUACUGACACUGAGGUGCGAAAGCGUGGGGAGCAAACA